GCUCACCAACACUCAGUCCCGCCCCUUUUCUUCCACUGUCAUCGGAGAAACCUGACAUCCCGAGUCUGGUCCUCAGUCUUUUGUAUAAUGACCCAAACCAGCUUUCUCGAUGCAUUUCCCAUGUUCUCAGCAAGCAGGGUUUCUUCCUCUCUCUAAAAAUAUGCUUUCCCCACAGAGAACAGAGAGGGUGUUGUGGCGCCGUCGUGGAGAUGCUGGGACGGCCGAGGCAGAAGUGGGCGGACGCAAACAGCCAUGUCUUUGAAGUCUCCCGUGAGGUCUCAAGUGUUCAUUGUGUUGACCACCCAGCUUGGAAUAAGGAUGUUGACAAAAAUAAACCAUGUGAUUCUCCUGCCACAUCACUUUCUCUCCCUAGUUAAGGUAACAGUCAUCCUUAAUACUGUGUUCAUGCUAGUUUUUUUAUUUAAAUACUACAGUUUAACAUUUGACAAGGAAUAGCACAAAUCACAUUUUAUGACACUCUAAAAAUAGUUCUACAUCUUCCAUGAGGAACUUGCAGUCAAAUAAGAAAACUAUGUCAUUUGCCAUCUAGAACUUGGGUGACUGGCCA
This 568-nucleotide long non-coding RNA is filed under the name Mustela putorius furo (domestic ferret). RNAcentral's name for it is "lncRNA (ENSMPUG00000031798.1)". The record is from RNAcentral. Lineage: Eukaryota; Metazoa; Chordata; Mammalia; Carnivora; Mustelidae.